Molecule: ribosomal RNA, 440 nt
Filed under: uncultured bacterium
Lineage: Bacteria
Description: partial 16S ribosomal RNA
Rfam family: Bacterial small subunit ribosomal RNA
Source: RNAcentral
CCUACGGGAGGCAGCAGUGGGGGAUAUUGCACAAUGGGGGAAACCCUGAUGCAGCGACGCCGCGUGAGUGAAGAAGUAAUUCGGUAUGUAAAGCUCUAUCAGCAGGGAAGAAAAUGACGGUACCUGAGUAAGAAGCCCCGGCUAACUACGUGCCAGCAGCCGCGGUAAUACGUAGGGGGCAAGCGUUAUCCGGAUUUACUGGGGGUAAAGGGAGCGUAGACGGGGGGGCAAGUCUGGUGUGAAAGGUGGGGGCCCAACCCCCGGACUGCAUUGGAAACUGUACGGCUGGAGUGCAGGAGAGGUAAGUGGAAUUCCUGGUGUAGCGGUGAAAUGCGUAGAUAUUAGGAGGAACACCAGUGGCGAAGGCGGCUUACUGGACUGUAACUGACGUUGAGGCUCGAAAGCGUGGGGAGCAAACAGGAUUAGAUACCCUUGUAGUC